This 315-nucleotide ribosomal RNA is filed under the name Klebsiella sp. AGR39. Its description in RNAcentral is "partial 16S ribosomal RNA". It matches the Rfam family "Bacterial small subunit ribosomal RNA", at positions 958 to 1275 of the family's 1533-position model. The record is from RNAcentral. Lineage: Bacteria; Pseudomonadati; Pseudomonadota; Gammaproteobacteria; Enterobacterales; Enterobacteriaceae.
AACGMGAAGAACSKUMCCUGGUCUUGACAUCCACAGAACUUWCCAGAGAUGGAUUGGUGCCUUCGGGAACUGUGAGACAGGUGCUGCAUGGCUGUCGUCAGCUYGUGUUGUGAAAUGUUGGGUUAAGUCCCGCAACGAGCGCAACCCUUAUCCUUKGUUGCCAGCGGUUMGSCCGGGAACUCAAAGGAGACUGCCAGUGAWAARCUGGAGGAAGGUGGGGAUGACGUCAAGUCAUCAUGGCCCUUACGACCAGGGCUACACACGUGCUACAAUGKCAUUUCAAAGAGAAGCGCCUCGCGAGAGCAAGCGGACCUC